AUUGUAUUAAUAAUUUGUGUUUGUAGCUAUUAACCUUCGCAUAAUCUAAUUGUGAGAAAAUUUCAUCUUCUGUAGAGAAAAACUUUAUGAAGCAGGGAUUGGCUGGUGAAAAGAAUAUAGUUGCCUAAAACGAUCAUGGGAAAAAAGCUGCGGCGAACAAAUUAAAAGCAAACAGCGAUUUAGUUUUUUCAAGCGUUGUAGAAAAAUCCAAUUAUAGUAAAGAUACCCUUGAAUACAAUUGUUGAACAACUGAAAAUUUUCUGCAAAAAAUUGUCCGAAAGGUGGAGAAAAUCGAACAAGGAAAAGACUUCACAGAUUGCCACCCUAAACGUUAAUGCGCCAAAGUUGCAAAUCUCGUCGAAGGCAAUACCUGCCAUCAGUUUGUUAAAGCAACAUGUAUAAGUUUGUACAAAUCUGGAAAGCGUAGAACAUCCGAAAUUGUUUCAAUGGUUGCCACAGCGCCCGAAUCAACUAAAAGAAUUAAAAGAAGUCUUAAUCAAGAGCUUCCUUAUACCAAUAGGGUUGCGAGGAAAGUUCGGGGCACUCUACAUGUCGCCAAAGUUUAGCAACCCAGAACUAAAAAUGGCUAAUGAGCAUACAUUUUUUAUAUUUAUUGGGCCACUUCAAUUGGUUAAUGGAACUUCCGUAGUUUGGGGAAAUCUUCGGCCAUCGUCAACGCGAUAUUGUAGACCACUUUAAGUAGUUUUUGCGAAAGAGUCCGCGAAAACGUCGACACAGACAUUCCCCGUUGCGUUAGGUGUUUCCACCUGGGGCACAUGGUGCGCAAAUGCUGCAACCCCGUAGACAGGUCGCCCAUAUGCACACGUUGUGGCGCCAGUGGACAUAUAGCGAAGUCAUGCAUCAAUGACCCAAGCUGCAUGCUUUGUAAAGGAGCACACUCCGUAUUGAGUACAACUUGUCCCAAAUAUUUGGAGAUGAUAAAGUCGUUAGAAAAAUGAGGAUACUGCAGCUAAAUUUAAACCACUGCUGCAGCACAAGAUCUACUUAAACAGACAAUAUUUGAGGAAAACAUUGAUGUCGCCUUACUAAGCGAGCAGUACUCCCAGCGUUCGGAAAGCACCUGGACCACAGACAUAUCUGGCAAGGCUGCAAUAUGGUCAUAUAAUGGCCAACCUUUUAUAUCCUGCUCCAAAGACCAUAACUGUUUCGCAUGGGCAAACAUACCUGGCAUAUACUUUGUUUGUUGCUAUGUAUGCUCCUCCCAGCGCCUUAAUAAUAUAUUUUGAAAACUUCCUCCUGGAACUUUCUCUAAAAAUCAGAAGGAAAUCGCCAGUCAUCAUCGCGGGCAGCUUCAAUGCGUGGUUAACUGCCUGGGAUUGCAGACGCACAAACCAUCGUCGACGUCUGCUACUAGAAUAACUGAGUUAGACGAAUCUUACGAUAAUGAAUAGCGGAACGCAAAAUACCUUCCAAAAAGGAAACAAAGGCCCAAUAAUCGAUGCAAUAUUUGCAAACGACGCUCUAAGUAGGCACAUAAAGUGGACGGUGUCGGAUAUAUUUACAAAUAGUGACCACAUGGCUAUUAUUGCUGAUGUUUCGUUUUCCGGAGAGACCGAAACCUGCAGCAAGAGCACUUGCCAAAAACGUAGCUAGAAACAAAAGGAGUUUGAUGGUGGCCUUUUGAGAUAGUUUGGGGCUCAGCAAAUACACCAGGCGAGAAAGCCACUCACUUGGUAUCCGCAGUGCGAAAAGAACUGGCCACAGCAUGCGAUGCAACUAUGCGUAGAAUAGUACACAAUAAACGAAAGUCAGCCUAUUGGUGGAAUGAAGAGAUAACUACGCUGAUAAAGCUCUCUAAUUUAGCUAGACGACGUCUACAGUGUAAUCAAUGUGGGGAAAAUGCAAACAUCCUCAGAGAAAAGUUUAAAACACAAAAGAAGCUUCUAAAGUCAGCCAUUGCCCGCAGCAAAAGAAACUGUUUUCUAAAGCUCUGUGAGGAAGCAAACGUAGACCCCUGGGGUACGGCGUAUAAAAUAAGCAUGUCAAAGUUUAUAAAUAAGACACAACAGCGCAUCUUUUAUUAAGAAUAUCGUAGAAAGAUUAUUUCCAAAACACCAUCUGAUUUCCUAUGAUAAACCAAGAACAGAAGUUGUAGAGCCACCACUACUUGUUAGUGAAGCAGAAAUAUUGGCUAUAGCGGCAGAAAUUAAAAGUAGCAAAGCGCCUGGUAAAGAUGGCGUACCAAGCAGGGCCUUAAAAGAAGCUAUGAAUUUAAAACCGAAUUUGUUCGCAAAAAUGUACAAUGCGUGCUUAAAGGAAUGUAUAUUCCCCGACCCAUGGGAAGUUCAGCGAUUGGUUCUACUUCCCAAACCAAAUCAGACUUCGGAGGAAGCCUCAUCAUAUCGACCUCUGUGCAUGCUUGACAUGAUUGGCAAAGUGUACGAAAGCAUAGUAAGAAACCUCUUGGAGUUAGCAAUCCGGAAAGCCGGCGGAUUAUCAGAAAGACAAUACGGCUUUAUGAAAAAGAGGUCCACUAUUGAUGCACUAAACAAUGUCGUUGACACUGCGAAAUGCGCAGUAAGUGGAAAAAGAUAGAAAGAUGGGACUAAAAAACAUUGCGCGCUGAUCAUCCUGCAUGUGAAGAAUGCCUUCAACUCGGCAAAAUAGGCAAACAUAAUCAAGGAUCUGUAUAAAAUGCACGCUCCCCAAUACCUUGUAAACAUUAUUAUAAGUUAUUUCGAAAACAAACGACUAAUAUUUGACACUGAUGAAAAGCUAUUCUAUUUCGAGUGGGAUACCGCAAGACUCGGGUUUAGGUCCCAUUCUAUGGAACGUGAUGUAUGAUGGGGUGCUAAGAAUAAAUCAACCAGAAGCCGUGAAAUUAAUCGCAUACGCGGAUGACCUUAUAGUGGUAGCAGUCACUAAACACCUAGAUGACCUCCGGAACAAAUGCAAUGAAUGCGUAAACAGUCUGCGGCAAUGGUUCUCCUCAAGGAGCCUAUUACUAGCUGAGCACAAGACAGAAGUCCUCCUAAUAAGUACUAGGGAAGUGGAUGAAAAAAUAUCCUACCCAUUCAUACAAUAAGGCUUGUUAGAAUAACGGAAAUUAUUAUACAUAUGUAGUACAAUAUAAUUUCAGAUAUUUUUGACAUUAAAC
This is a non-coding RNA of Bactrocera oleae (olive fruit fly), 3118 nucleotides long. The record is from RefSeq and is a predicted model, not a curated record. NCBI's taxonomy places the organism in Eukaryota, Metazoa, Arthropoda, Insecta, Diptera, Tephritidae.